Molecule: transfer RNA, 86 nt
Filed under: Acidobacteriota bacterium
Lineage: Bacteria; Pseudomonadati; Acidobacteriota
Also listed under: 1 other name
Description: Acidobacteria bacterium tRNA-Tyr
Rfam family: tRNA
About the family: Transfer RNA (tRNA) molecules are approximately 80 nucleotides in length.
Source: RNAcentral
GGAGGUGUGGCCGAGUGGACAAAGGCAGCAGACUGUAAAUCUGCCGGCGUAAGCCUACGGUGGUUCGAAUCCAUCCGCCUCCACCA